CCUCCUGCCCCAAGAGGGUACGACAAAUGCUUCUAGAACUAACAACGGAACUUCACAGAGAAACAGUACACGGGCUAAACACAGAAAGAAGGACAGUGCCACAGAACAAAGACUCCAGAAACAGUCCCCACAAAUAUGCCCAUCUGAGUUUUGAAAAGGGUGCUGAAGCAAUUCCAUUCCAGACAGCUCGGUUUGGUGCCGACCACAGCCAUCUAGAGCUUGUGAGGAGCUCAGAGAGGCCACCCUCAGAACACAGCAGCAGCAGAGGAGGAGGAUGGUGGUGUGACCGAGGUCCUGCCAGGCUUCUGUGAGGCUUGCUGCUUGUCUGGCGUCUCGAGACCCCACAACCUUGUCCCGGUGGGCGCAGCACCUCACAACCUCCAGACCCAUGGCCACUGGUCUGAGGACACCCCUUUCCAGCUCCUGUACUUCGUCCUCGAGGUCGGCGCGGAGGACGAAGAAGUGAGCAGCCCUUGGGAAGAUGCUCCUCUGCACGGAGCUGAGAAGAGCCCAGAACGGGGCCUCGUUGAUGGAGCUGCUAACUAUGUGGGGGGCCUGGAGACAGCGCGAGUGGAAAUGCGGCCGAACCGGGCAGAUGAGGUUUCAGCCUUGCUGGGGCUCAAGUCCUGCUAGAAGAGACCGACGUGAAGCCCGUAAGUGGAGUGUUGAUGGGGGAGGAGCUCCGUUCUCCUUCUCGAGUAGGUUACGUUCCACGAGGGGUUGUCAGGAUCCCCACCGUGCACCUGAGAUCAGGCCAGUCAGGGGUCAGUGUGUGUGUGUGUGUGUGUGUGUGUGU
Long non-coding RNA from Mustela erminea (ermine), 796 nucleotides. RefSeq lists it as uncharacterized. The record is from RefSeq and is a predicted model, not a curated record. The transcript has 4 exons. NCBI's taxonomy places the organism in Eukaryota, Metazoa, Chordata, Mammalia, Carnivora, Mustelidae.